UUUUUUUUAAAACUUUACUACAAACUUAUGUCAAAACAGUGGGCAAAGAGAAAACAUGACAAUAACUCAAAUAUUUCAUUCAAAGCAACAGAUACUAACAAGAUCGAGAGACGGAGAAAGCUAAAUUGACGGGCCAAAUACCAUUUACAUCACAUAUGAUUCGCCACAUAGGCUAGACUUGAAACCGUAGACCUACGCAAAUGACAAUGUCGGCAAUAACGAACUAAAGCAACACACUAGAGGCUUGAUGACAAUGAUUAUAAAAUAACACGGUUUCAAUGGCAUUCAAGAGAUAGGCUCAAAAAGAAGAACAUAACAAGAAAAAACUAACUCGAAUAGAGUAGUGGGGAAAACACCAAUGACCCUCUAAAGUUUUAACCCGAUGUUGGGACUAACUUAUGCAAACGAAUGGGAGUACACACAACAUGCUAAGAACGUCAUCAACCCAACAACAAAUNNN
Molecule: long non-coding RNA, 460 nt
Filed under: Solanum tuberosum (potato)
Lineage: Eukaryota; Viridiplantae; Streptophyta; Magnoliopsida; Solanales; Solanaceae
Description: long non-coding RNA (STUB_LNC000938)
Source: RNAcentral